RNAcentral lists this unclassified non-coding RNA (3064 nucleotides) under Leishmania donovani. RNAcentral's name for it is "gene:LdHU3.16.0890(CDS-product:hypothetical_prote in_conserved)". Lineage: Eukaryota; Euglenozoa; Kinetoplastea; Trypanosomatida; Trypanosomatidae. The record is from RNAcentral.
UGCCUCCGCCGGUGCCGCUUCACCUCUCUGGCGCCCACCCGCCACCUCUUCGCGCGUGCCCGUGUCUCCCUGUGCUUGGCUGCACGGUGAAGGGAGUUGCAUCCGUGUCUCCGCUCGCUGUCGCAACCUGCCUUUCCUUUUUCACCUUUGAUGCCCAGUCGUUGCGCGCGCACACACACAGACACGGACGCCUACACAUACGCACACCGGAACAACGACAGUGGCAUGCUCAGACAGCGACUCCAUCGUGCUCGAGCCACGCACCGCGCCCGCAGCCAUGACGUUUGCGAGACGCAUGGCCUCGCUGCGUUGUUCAGGCGCACCUGUGCUGCGCGCCCUUGCGGUGGCCUCAGCGCGGUGGUGCUUGCGUGUUGCUAUGCAUCAACAGCGACCUCAUCUACUGCGACGUCACCACCACCGCCAUACGAGACGACGUCCAUGCCGAAGUCGUCGCCGUCGCAACCACCGGCCACGGCACGGCCACCACGCGUCCCACCUCCGCCUCCACUGUCUCUCCUGUCGUGGGCGGUGGACGGCUCAGGCCAUACCCAUCACCGUUGCAGGCGCCGCCUGUCUAUGGAGGAGCGCAUUCCACUCGUGUGCGAGACGAUCCGGGCCGCUGCGUCCGACGUGGUCGCUCUUCAAGACUCCACCCCAGAACUCGCGGAGGCGCUCAUCAACGGUCCUGACGAGGGCAUCGUAGCGAAGCCACCAAGGCCGGCACCGGAAAGGCGUUUUCGCAUAUACUGCGCCGAUCUCGCACGCGAUUUGCAACAUCAGCGACCAAGCAGCGCUUCGCCGACUUCAUCAGCGUCAGCUGCACCAGUAGCACCUGUAACCACCGAGGCACCACUGAAUGCAGACUGCCAUGAGCAGCAGCCACCAACCACGGACGCCCCUGCACAUGCCGCAAGCUCCCUGACGCUCCCACCCGCCUCUUCGCCCUCGUGCCGCUACCGUCUUGUCGGCCGUGCUCGCAACGGCCGCUGCGGCGAAGUGCAGCUGUUCAUCAAGGAGGGCUCUGUCUGGGACGCUCAGCUGCUUCCUGGCAUGGGUGCCGGCCUCACGGUGGAGCUGCGCAGCCGCACCUCUGCCACGCUGCCCCCGCACACUUCGAAGGGCGAUGCCUCCACCUCGGACAUCGCCUCAUCUGAGACGAGCAACCAAACGAGCUCGGCAGCGAGGCAGGGCGGCGCAGACCCAGUCGGCAGCGAGGCUGACUCGCCGUGCCACCGCUGCGUUCUCACUACUCUGGACCUCUCUUACCGCGGCAAGAGUCUCGGCACGAACACAGAGGGUCUGCUAGCCGACGCUGCGGUCAGCGCCGAGGGUAGUCCUUUUACGCUGCAGACGCAACGGCCAUCGUCUCUGUCUGCCGCCAAGCGACACGGACGGGCCCCAGGUCAGCUGGAUGCACACCGUGCCAUGGCGCUUGACUGGGUGUAUCACCAUGUGCGGCCCGACGUGCUGGUCGGCAACCUCUUUACCGGCGCACGCGAGCACGUCCCUGGCUUCGAGGACACGUGGGUGCGGGCAGGGUCGCCGGCGGGACAGGAGCGGACAACAAACACGUGCGCGCGGCACCGCGUUGAUCACGCGACGAACUACUUCUACUUUCAGCCCUCUCGCAACGUAGCAUCAUCGGAGGCGAUUCAGAGGCUCAUGCGCAUGGAUGAGGCCGCGGCGACGGUCAGAAGGCCGCUGCCGCCGCCUCCACCUCAGCCCCCAACAACCGAUGGCGCUCUGAGGAGUGCGGCUGCCGCAGGGACGACGAGCGGCAAAACCACGGAGACGACAAGCACCACCAUUGUUGCAGUAGCCGCGGACGCUCCGAUCGGCACACCGAUCCCGCUCACCGCCUCUAGGGACAGUGCGACGGGUUCGUGGCAACUGCGCUCUUCUUCUGCAUGCGGAGGCGGAUUUUUUGAGGGCGCUGAACACCGUGAUGGCAGCGUGGCGGCUUCUUCAGCGGCGGAGUGCCGUCGCGCGGCAGAGGACGGUCAUGAUGACGUUUGCACGUCGGGCGACAUCACUGUGGGCAUGCCGGAGGUCGCGGGGCGGUUCCAGCGCUGUCUGCUGCGCCGCUGGGUGCGCCGUGGCCCGGCCUCGCGAAGCGGACACCUCUCCGCUCACCCUUUCCUCCGGCAGUAUCGCCACUGUCGAGUAGUGGUACUGCGACCCACAGUGGAGGUGGAGCUGUCGGCGGCCGAGCAGGCAUGGCAUACACGGUACAUCACAGCUCAGUACAACACGCAGAAGUCCGCCAUGCUGACGCCGUCUGCGACUGCCGAGGGCGAGCCGGGAGAGGGUGCAGCAGCAGCUGUCGCUGCGUCCCAGGCAACACGAGUUGGGGAGGGGUCGUUCUCGUCACCGCGACAGGCUCGGGUGAGCUCUCGCGUGCGCUGCUCCGUGUCGGACCAGUACCCACUACUCACCCUACUGGCGUGAGCGAGUCGCCGCGCCGCGGUUGGUGAUGCUCUUGCGUCGUUGUGGAGUGUGGAGCGUGGUGGUUGCUCUCUUCUAAAAGGAAAAACGGCAGCCCGGCCUGCUCCGCGCAGCGCUGGGGGACGCCCACGACCCCCGCUGGCGACACAGCGUACGCAUCAGCAUGUGGCGUCGCUUCGAAAAGGAGUCUCCUUGUCCUGACCGGCUGACCCUCGCGCUCUCUGUCCAAGUCCGUUCCGUACGCGGAGGGAGUCGCAGUCGAUGCGACAGGGGAAGACGAAACGGGUGCCACACUUUCGCACGGCCGUGAGUUCCUCUUUCUACAUGAACGUCCACAGACACAGGAGGACUUGAUGCGCGGCACGCUGAAAACACAACAGAAGAGGUAUCGUGCGCUGGAGUCCUACGUACCUGUUGGGGGUGGAGGCGCAGGAGAGCUUGUUGCGUGCACGUGCACGAGCAUGCCUGCUGUGGAGGCGGCGCUCUGUACCUACGCUUCUUCUGCAAUGUUCUCUGUCUCUCCGCCCUGCAUUGUGUCACUCGUGCGCUUGAUGUCGUCGCCCUCCUGACUCCACCGCCGUCCCUCUUUCUCUCGCACAUUCUGUUUGUGCGGUUUCAG